Molecule: long non-coding RNA, 636 nt
Organism: Mastomys coucha (southern multimammate mouse)
Lineage: Eukaryota; Metazoa; Chordata; Mammalia; Rodentia; Muridae
Exons: 2
Source: RefSeq, a predicted model, not a curated record
GAUGACGCAGCCAGUUCUCAUUCUCUCCCAGGGCUCACUGCUGCCUAGAGGUUUCUGGGAGAUGUAGUAACUAGUGAUCUCGCGAUAGCUUUCAAGGGGCUGGUUUGUGUAUGAGCUCACACGCUGCUGCUAUGGCGUCAUACUCAGUGUGUAGCUGAUGCGUAGACAUAGCAUAGAGGUGGGGACAUAGAGGUGGGGACAAGGAACCAAAGAGGACAAAGAGAAGAGCGGGCAGAACUCUGAUGUUUACUGGGACCCAUAAUAGUCAAGUUAACUCAUCUGAAAUGGGAAGACCUACUUCUAAUCUGGACCUCUGAAGUGGAAGAUCCGCUGUGAAUGCAGAUCCACCUCUAGUCUGGACCACUGCUUCAGACAAUGUUUGGUUCUGGGGCCCGUCACUCCAUGGCGGCCAGAAGCUCCACAGUUACACCACAUGGGUAAUUAAUUAUCAUGCCAUGGUUUCUUUGAAGUCAGGACCGUGUCUGUCCUGUCCACAUCUGUCCCCAGAGAAAGCCCAGAAUGACAUAGUCUAUAUAAAGGACAUGGAUGGAGGAAGCUUGCUCUCUCUGCCUGCUUGCUCUUGCUGGAAAAUCCAUUCCUUCAGUAGCAUUAAAGUCUACUUCUUCUACUUCAGUA